GAAUGUCAAUGUGAGAAAAAUAAAAUCAAGCUUAAAAGCUGUAAGGAAAGAGAAAAAUGUUUUUAAGAGAGAAACAUUUUUAUGAAGAUUCAUUAAUUUUUGUAAUUUUAAAGGCAGUAAAAAAAUUAUUUUAUGAAUCUAUGAAAAAAAAUACAGAGGUAGAGGAAAAAUCAUAGGAUUUCAACAGGUUUUAAGACACCAUUUUGAGUAUCUAAGACAUAUUUUUCUCAGGUUGUCGUUCAGGCUUCUUUACUAUAGUGAAAAACAUGAAAACUGACAAUUCUAAACUCACAGAAGAAAAUAAAAACAUUACAAAUAUGCUACACCAUAAAACUUUUACAAAAAAUGCAUACAUUUUGUUAUCUCUUUUUCUCUUCCCCAAGUCUUUGAUUUCCUCUAAAAGACAAGUUUACUGAUUUGUGUUUAAGAAGUAGUUUUUAGAAAGAUGAAAACAACAACAGCAAAAAGAGAAAAUUUUGACCAGGAGAAAAAUCAAACAAUGGCAAAAGAAUGAAAAAAAAAAAAAUAGAAAAAACUAAAGCAUCUAAAGCUGGAAUGACUUCAGUGGCUUUCUGGAGGAUUUGUAGUGAAAUGACGCAUUGAAAUGCAGAUUAUGUGAAUCUGAGCAGAUGAAAGGUAGAAGAUGUUUAUAUUGAAGCAGGAAACACAAACAUACGGCUUUUCUGGCGUUUUACACCCGAACGUGAUACAGACACACAGACACAGUUCAGUUCGACUCUUCAACAAUCUGCACAUUAACACAAACACACUUCCCAUCUAGUUAUAUAUAUAUUUACAUAACAUUUCUGAAAAUAUAUAUUUACAAAUAUUAUUUGAAUUGUUCAGAAAUAAAGACACACAAGAGCAUAUUAAUACUUUAUUCAUACUUUAAUGAUCGUCAAAACAAUCUAUUGGUUGCCAGAUUAUUCAAGAGGAUCUAUGUAUACGUACAUUAUCAUGCGGAAAACAAGUCAGACUUCUGGUCUUCGCUGGACUCUUCACACAUCAUGUGAUGUGAAACCAGAUCCAGCGUUCACACCGCAGACUGACUUCAGAUUAAACAUUCCAGGAGUUCACUUAUAAUAAAUGCUUCUUUACAGAUGUUAUGGUGUUUCUAUAACCUUUAUACGCUAAACACACACACAAACUAUCACACUCACACACUCUGAUUCACUCAUUCAUUCACUCACACACACACACACACACACACUCUCACUAACUCAAUCACUCACUCACUCACUCACACACACACACACACACACUCACUCAUUCACACACACUAACUCAAUCACUCACACACACACACACACACACACUCUCACUAACUCACUCACUCAAACACACACACACUCACACUAACUCAAUCACUCACUCACACUCACUCUCUCACUCACUCACUCUCACUCUCUCACUCACUCUCACUCUCACUCACUCUCACUCACUCACUCACUCACUGUUUCACACUCACUCACUGUCUCACACUCUCUCACUCACUCUCUCACUCUCU
RNAcentral lists this long non-coding RNA (1507 nucleotides) under Carassius auratus (goldfish). RNAcentral describes it as "lncRNA (ENSCARG00000007324.1)". Lineage: Eukaryota; Metazoa; Chordata; Actinopteri; Cypriniformes; Cyprinidae. The record is from RNAcentral.